AUUCUUAACGGUAGGAUCCGAGGGGACUCUUUAGGGAGGUUUACAUACUGUUCAGCUCUUGGAGCUAGUGUAGUCGACUAUGCGAUCACUGACAUGGACCCCUCCACUAUUAGUGCGUUCACUGUCAGACCACAACUCCCACUUUCUGAUCACUGUCAAAUCAAUGUUUACCUUAAACGACUCAGUCAGCAUCAAACCAUGAAAUAUGAGCCCUGCAAAACAUCCCAGUUAAACCGAACAUUCAGAUGGAAUCAUGACAGCGAAGCUAAAUUUAAAUCUGCUGUUGGUUCCUCAAAAAUCAUUAAUCAUAUUAACAAUUAUUUAUUAGAAUCAUUUGAAUUAAACCAAUCAGGUGUUGAUAGAGCUGUUUCACAAAUUAAUGGAAUAUAUUAUAAAUCCGCUAAAAUUGCAGGUCUCAAUUUUAUAAACACCAAACCAAACAAAAAAGCACAAAAGGAAGAAUGGUUUGAUGAAGACUGUAAAAUAAUCAGGCAGAAAUUAAGACAUCUAUCAAACCAAAAACACAGAGAACCAAACAAUCAUCAAAUUCGAACAAAUUAUGCUACAAAUCUAAGGGAAUAUAAAAAGAUUUUACGACAUAAAAAACACAUCUAUUAUACUCAGUAUCUACAAAAAAUUGAAAACUCUAUUGACCAAAAUCAAUUCUGGGAACUGUGGAACAACCUGAGCAACAAAAACCCAAAUAAUCUGGCCAUAGAAAAUCCAAAUACCUGGAAAAAUCACUUUGAACAAUUAUAUGAGCAAUUACCACCAGAUGAUUUUAAUUCAGAACAGCAACAAAUCAUAGAAAAUCUAAAUAUAUUAGAAUCUACCAUAAAAAACUAUCAGAACCCAAUUGAUUACCAAAUUUCACCGGAAGAAUUGAAUACCCAAAUUAAAAAACUCAAAUCCAGAAAAGCCUGCGGACCUGACAGCAUCAGGACGGAGAUGCUGAAGUGCAGCAGUCCUCAGCUACAGCAGGCUCUGCUCAGGUUGUUCAAUAUCGUUCUCCAAUCCAGCUGCUUUCCUGAGAUCUGGAACAGGGGGCUUAUUUCCCCAAUCUACAAGAGUGGAGACAAAUUCCACCCCAACAACUACCGAGGCAUCUGUGUGAGCAGUAACCUGGGGAAGGUGUUCUGCUGUAUCAUUAACGCCCGGAUACAGGCCUUCCUUACCGAGCACAGUGUCCUGAGUAAUGGACAGAUCGGCUUUUUACCAAAUCAUCGCACUACUGACCAUAUUUACACCCUACACACCCUAAUCCACCAACAUCUACACAAACUAAAUCAUGCUAAAGUUUUUGCAUGUUUUAUAGAUUUUAGAAAAGCAUUUGAUUCAAUCUGGCAAGAAGGAUUAUAUUAUAAAAUUAUCCAAAAUGGUGUAGGGGGUAAAGUCUAUGACAUCAUUAAAUCAAUGUAUGUCAAUAAUAAAUGUGGAGUAAAAAUUGGCAAUAAAAUGACUGAGGUCUUCACUCAGGGGCGUGGUGUCAGGCAGGGUUGCAGCUUGUCUCCUACUCUAUUUAAUAUCUAUAUCAAUGAUUUAGCGGUGUUAUUGGAGCAAUCUGCAAAUCCCGGCCUGACACUAAAUAAAACGGAAGUUAAAUUUCUUCUCUAUGCGGAUGACCUGGUGCUGCUGUCGCCCACAGAAAAGGGGCUUCAGCAGCAUCUGGAUCUGCUGGAGAAGUUCUGUCAGACCUGGGCCCUGACAGUAAAUCCUGAUAAAUCUAAAAUCAUGAUCUUCCAAAAGAAAGCCAGAUCUCAGGAAAGCAGAUAUACUUUCAAUCUAGGAGACACCGCCCUAGACCACACCCUUUCUUAUGAUUACCUGGGGCUCAAAAUCAGCGCCUCAGGAGGCUUCGGUCUGGCAGUGGAUGCACUGAAACAGAAGGCCUGCAGAGCCCUCUAUUCAAUUAAAAACAAAUUCAUUAAGAUUGACAUCCCAAUUAGAAUCUGGUUAAAGAUUUUUGAUAGUAUAAUCCUGCCCAUUGCGCUAUACGGUAGUGAAGUAUGGGGUCCACUCAGUCAUCAUGACUACACUAGAUGGGACAAGCAUCCCACUGAAGUCCUGCAUGCAGAAUUCUGCAGAAUGAUUUUACAUGUACAAAGAAAAACCCCAACCAACGCAUGCAGGGCUGAAUUAGGCCGAUACCCAUUAAUUAUUCAUAUUAAAAAAAGAGCCCUUAAAUUCUGGAUGCACCUAAAAUCCAGUCCCACAACAAGCCUGCAGUUUCAGGCACUCCUAUCCCAAGAGCUCUACCCUGAAAACAGUCCCCUGUGUCAGCUGGUCCAGAGACUGCCCAACACUCUGACCCCUAACAACCCUAACUCUCUGACCAGCACUGCUUCCCAAACACCAAUCAGGAUCACCCAAAUUAUCAAACACCUCAAAAACACUUAUCUGGAACAUUGGACAACCCAAACUCAAUCCCAAAACAGACUGAACUGCUAUCUGACCCUAAAACAUGAAUACAACCUGGCCACGUAUCUCUUCACUGUCCGAGAUACGAAGCAGAGACACAUUCUCACCAAAUACAGACUGAGUGACCACAGCCUGGCCAUCGAGAGAGGCAGGUUAAAAAAGUCCUGGAUCCCCAGAGAGGAGAGACUGUGUGGUCACUGCAGGACAGGUGAGGUUGAGACAGAGGUGCACUUCCUUCUAAACUGCCCAAAAUACACAACAAUUAGACACAAAUAUUUUGAUCAGUUUGGAAGAGAGGUGAGCGGCUUCAGAACGCUGACAGACAGCGAGAAACUGGCCAUUAUAUUAGGAGAGGGACCAUCAGCCUCCACUGCAGCCAGAUAUGUACAGGAGUGUCACACACUCCGGGACAAAGUCUCAGUAAUUAAAGCUGCAGGUCCUGUUCCAGUCGUCUCUACCAGCUUUUGCACCAGUUCCCAACAUGUUCUCCAACUGUAGGCUCAGGCAUUAAUGCCCCGGUCUCCAGACAUCUUGCUCCGGCGCCGCAGGAGGACGAGUCCUUCAUUCUGGUGAUCAGACGUUCCUCUGGUUCUCAUCUCACCC
Molecule: RNA transcript, 3021 nt
Organism: Trichomycterus rosablanca
Lineage: Eukaryota; Metazoa; Chordata; Actinopteri; Siluriformes; Trichomycteridae
Gene: fgfbp3
Gene name: fibroblast growth factor binding protein 3
Exons: 4
Source: RefSeq, a predicted model, not a curated record